GGUACAGAAACAACUACAACUUUAUUAAUACAAUUGUCGUGCAAAAUACGACAACACAUAAACUGUGAGUUUAAAUACAAAUAUUGUCAUCUAGACAAUAUUCACACCCAAAUAAGUUCUCAUUACAAUUAUUGAUACAUUAUUUUACAAAAAUGGUGAGGACUACUAAAAAUAACUUCCUAGGAUUUUCAUUCCAUACCCCGACUAGUACUCACUAUAUUCUCGCCUCCUGAGAAGAAAAAAUGGAACAAAAAGGAAAAUGGUGAGCUCAACUAGCCCAGUAAAGAAUAUUAUGACUAAGAUAAUAUAGAACAAAUAAUCGUUAGUCUUCAACAUGGAAAAAAUCUGAUAAAAUACAAUAGAUAAUAAGUUUCAGACCAAUAUUCGCAGCGGAAAUAAUAAUUUCAUAGAAGAGUUUCGUAGAGAAUGAAAUCUACUAUUAUCUAUGAAUUUAAAAGUCCAUCAUCAAUAUUUUAUCCCUGUAACAUCAAUCAAUAUACAUCAUGAAUCAAAUAUUCAUCUUUGCACUACAGGCUAAAGAUAUUCAUCAGUUGGUCAUAUUCAUCUCAACACCUGUUCAUCUUUGCACUACGGGCCAAAGAUAUUCAUCAUAAAAUCAUUCAUCUUUGCACUACAGGCCAAAGAUAUUUAGUAAUAUCAUCAUUUAGGACUGAGGAUGAUGAAAAAUAUUUUAAAGAAAACGAAUCCUAGUGAAACAAAAGAAUAAAUAUUAAGGAUUCGUACUUUAAACAAUCCAAGUUCAAAAAUACUUCGUAAAUAAUCAUAGUGAAGUAAAAUUCAAGAAUGAUCAAAACAUGGAUACAAUCAAAGCUAGUAUCCAUAAUAGAUAUUUUGGACAAAAAAUAAAAUUUAAUUUUUUUGUGAAUAGUGCCGUAUUCGUGAAUAGUGUCGUAUACAUGAAUAGUAACCCCGACACUAAAAGACAAGAAUUUCACAAGAAAAAUCUUACCAAUACUCUGGCAUAAUGAUAUUAGAAGAAAUAAUAUCAUUAAAAAAAAUAAUAUCCCUUACCUCGAAGAGAAUGGUACUUCUGGCUGGAAUAUCAGAUAUAACGCUGAAGGAACUUGCACCGUAUAGCAACACUCAAAGUAUCAAAAUACUCACAAGAAUACGCUCGAUAAUAUAGAGAGAGAAAACUUCAGUUUCUGGUGUGAUUUUCAAUUCUAACCUAAGCACUUUAUUUAUAGGAAAAUGCUUAGAACACCAAAACAAAAAAUUUAAUAUAAUAUUAAUAUAAUUAUAAAAUUGUCAACCCCACCUUUGAAAUCUGAUUUCAGCUCAUUUAAAUCACAUGUGAGACCCAGUCAACUCAUCAAAAACGUUUUUCUUAAAAAACAUAACUAAAACUUUCAAAAAUCAAUUAUUUUGGAACUUCGGAACUUCAAUAAUUCAUAAUAAAUAGCUAUUUUAUCAGAAAAAUUUGAACCUUACAUCUUUUCUAUAGAAAAUUCUAUUCUCUACAACUUUUUAAGUUUAAGUUUUUCUAAAUUCCAAACAGAAAUUGACCGAAAUCCACAAACGGGCGAUUUUACAAGCUAUAAUCAAAUUUCAGUCAAGAAAUGGGAUCCACAAACAUGAAAAACAUGUUUUAAAUAUUUUUAGUAACAAAAAUACUCUUCCUCCUCAUUUAUUCAUAUAUCCCACAUUCAUUGUAAAAAUAUCACCAUUAUUAUAUUAUUAUAAUAUAAUAAUAUAUUUAAAUGAAUUAUUUAUCAAAAAAGAUAAAAUAUAAAUUUUUCAACAAUUGUCACUUUAAAAUUUUCUCCAUCUACAUCCACAUAAAAUGAAUAUUUUCUUUAUCAUAUAAAUAAAUAAUUAAUUAUUCACAAAUAAUAUUACAGAAUCACAAUAUCGACAACCAGGCCGUUCCCAGGAAAGAGGGGGCUUUCCAAUAAGGAUUUCUCCUUACUGGCACACAAUUAGGUGACCAAACCUCUCCUUAGACAGAAUUUUCUAGACAUUGCCAAUAAUGUUAUCUAAUAAUAUUAUUCAAAUAAUAUGAAUUAUUGAUCUGAUAAUGGAAAAUACUGUGUAGUGACAAUUAUUGAAACAACAACAAUAUAAAAUAUCAACGCAACAAUUAUUGAAUCAAUAAUAUAAAAUAUUGAACAGUAAUUACUGUAACAAUUAUUGAGUAGUGCCUUCUUACGUAAGAAUCAAUAAUUGGUGCAAUACCGUGUGCUACUGUGUUUUAACCACCGGGUAUUCCAACAGUAUUAACGGUAACAACUACGCCGUUAUUUAUAACCAACUUAUAUUUGUCGUUUUCCUUCAUAUAAUCGCUUUUUGUUAUGGGGCCCACACAAGGCUGCGCCGUCAUACGAAUAUUCCCCGACAGUAAGAAUAUUCCAUGACCAAACGAAUAUUCCCCGACAAUAAUAAAUAUUUUAUAACAACUUGCUUAUUUGAAAUAUUUGCGCAUUUUACCCAUAACUAACCACAUUAAUCAAAUCAACCCUUACUAUUUCAAAAUAAUAAAUAGAGGAAAUUCAAUUUCAUUUAUAAUAAGUUGGCGUCUUACAACCUCCCCUCCUUAUGAAAUUUCGUCCUCGAAAUUGACAUACGUACCUGGUGUUUCGAAAAGGUGAGGAUACCUCGUUUUCAUUUCCGUUUCCAACUCCCAGGUCAUUUCCUCUAUAGCAUGGUUCCUCCACAAAACUUUGACUUAUGGUAUGACCUUUGUGCGUAGGACAUGCUCCUUCAUAUCCAAGAUUUUGACAGGUACCUCUUCGUACGUUAAGUCUUCGGCUAUCUCGUCCGGUUUUAACUCAAUAACGUGGUUCGGGUCUUUCACAUAUUUACAAAGCACAGAUAUGUGAAAAACAUUAUGAACACGAGACAUGCUUGGAGGUAAUGCGAGUCUAUAGAACACAUUUCCUACUCGGUCAAGAAUUUGAAAUGGACCAAUAAAUCGUGGAUUGAGCUUUCUUCUCUUCCCAAAUCUUGUAACUCCCUUCCAUGGAGCAACACUCAACAAUACAUGAUCCCCAAUACUAAAUUCCACGUCCUUUCGAUGAAGAUCCGCAUAACUCUUUUGUCAAAUCUGUGCCGUUUGUAUACGUUGUCGAAUCAUUUGGAUCUUUUUCGUAGUCAUACGUACUAACUCGGGUCCCAACAAUGUUGUUUCACCCACUUCAUCCCAACAUAUUAGAGAGCGACACUUUCGUCCAUACAAUGCUUCGAAUGGAGCCACACCUAUACUUGUCUGACAACUAUUGUUGUAGGAGAAUUCCACCAAUGGUAAAUACUUAUCCCAACUCCCUUUGAAGUUUAGGACACAGAGUCUUAAUAGAUCUUCAAGAGUUUGAAUAGUCCUCUCUGAUUGUCCGUCUGUUUGAGGAUGGUAUGCUGAACUGAAUCGUAAAUCCGUGCCCAUAGUUUUUUGCAAACUAACCCAAAAUCGUGAAGUGAAUCUUGGGUCACGAUUCAAAACAAUGGAUACUGGCAUGCCAUUUAAUCUCAUAAUUUCAUUUACAUAUAUAUGAGAAAGACGUUCAAGGGAAUAAGUCUCCCGUAUCGGCAAGAAAUGAGCAAACUUGGUUAAUCUAUCAAUAAUAACCCAAAUAACCUUUAUACCUUGAGAAACCGUGGGAAGACCCGUAACGAAAUCCAUGGUAAUGUGUUCCCACUUCCAUUUCAGAUUCUCAAGUGGUUGCAAUGGACCCUUAGGUACUUGAUGCUCCGCCUUUACACGUUGACAUGUUAAACACCUCGAGAAAAACUUUUCAAUCUCUCUCUUUAUAUUGUUCCACCAAAAUGUAUGUCGAAGAUCACGAUACAUUUUGGUACUUCCAGGAUGGAUUGCAAACGGUGUAUUUUGUGCCUCCGUUAUGAUCUUGUAUUUCAAAUCAAAGUCAUUAGGAACACAAAGUCUGGAGUGGACUCCAAGUAUUCCUUCUUCAUCGAUUCUCACUUCUGGAAUAACACCUUCUUGUACUUUUUUCUUCAUACGCAUCAGCUCUGGGUCGGUGGCUUGAGCAACUUUAACUUUUUCUAUUAAAGUUGGCUCUAUUCGUAUACUUGACAUCAUCACAUGGGUCCCAGGAGUCUUGAAUUCUAUCUUCAUCUUUUGUAAAUCAUACAAAAUGGGCCUUUGUGUUGACAACAUCGCACUUGUUCCCGCAUAUGAUCUUCUACUCAACGCAUCAGCUACCACGUUCGCUUUUCUAGGAUGGUAUUGAAUAGCGUGGUCGUAAACUUUCAACAGCUCGAGCCAACGUCGUUGCCGCAUGUUGAGUUCCUUUUGGGUGAAGAAAUAUUUGAGGCUUUUAUGGUCUGAAUAUAUCUCCACUUUCUCUCCAUAUAGAUAGUGCCUCCAGAUCUUUAGCGUGAAAAUGACUGCUGCCAACUCUAGAUCAUGAAUAGGAUAAUUCCUCUCAUAUUCUUUAAGUUGUCGUGAGGCAUAGGCUAUGUCUUUCCCAUGUUGUAUGAGAACACAUCCUAACCCUUUCCCCGAAGCAUCGCUGUAGAUAACAAAUCCAUCCGAACCAGAUGGUAUUGUCAGAACACGUGCCGAAAUAAGUCUCCUCUUAAGCUCUUGAAAACUCUUCUCGCAUUCCUCGUUCCAUACGAAUUUUGUAUCUUUCCGAGUCAGCUGAGUUAAUGGAGUAGCGAUUCGAGAAAAUCCUUCCACGAAUCUCCGAUAAUAACUAGCUAAGCCCAGAAAACUACGUACUUCGGGCACCGUCUUCGGUUGCUCCCAACUUUGUAUUGCUUCAAUCUUUGCUGGGUCCAUAGAUACUCCAUGUUUUGACACCACGUGCCCAAGGAAUGCUACUUCCUCAAGCCAGAACUCGCAUUUCUUCAACUUGGCAUAUAGCUUGUUUUCACGAAGCCUUUGGAGUACCAGCUUCAAAUCGUGCUCAUGAUCUUCACGACUUUAGGAAUAUAUGAGGAUGUCAUCAAUAAAGACAACCACGAACUGAUCCAAAUAUUCCUUGAAUACUCGGUUCAUCAUAUCCAUGAAAGUCACAGGACCAUUAGUCAAUCCAAAAGACAUGACUAAGAAUUCAUAAUGCCCGUACCGAGUUCUGAAGGCAGUAUUUGGAAUAUCCUCAGUUCUAAUCUUUAGCUAAUGAUAUCCAGAACGAAGAUCAAUCUUUGAAAAGAAUUGCGCUCCUUGCAACUGGUCAAACAGGUCAUUAAUGCGAGGUAACAGAUACCUAUUCUUGAUGGUGACAUGGUUUAAUUCUCGCUAGUCAAUACAAAGUCGCAUACUUCCGUCUUUCUUCUUUACAAAUAAAAUAGGAGCACCCCAAGGAGAUGUACUAGGACGAAUGAAACCGAUGUCCAAUAACUCUUGUAGUUGAACCUUUAACUCCUGAAGUUCAAUAGGAGCCAUUUGAUAUGGGGUUUUUAGAAAUGGGCUUUGUACCAGGUUCAAGAUCAAUAAAGAAUUCAACUUCACGUUCUGGGGGUAGACCGGGAAGUUCUUCAGGAAAUACGUCAGGAAAUUUAUUAACAACAGGAAUAUUAUUCAAAUCUGACGUGUCUUUAUUCAAAUCCAUAACAUUGGCUAAGAAAGCUUGACAUCCGUUUUUUAAUAAAUAAAUGGCUUUAUGGCUUGAUAUAACAGUGAUUGAUUUUAGUGGUUUAGUUGCUUGAAUUCGCACAACAGGUUGGUUAAGAAUAUGAAAACUAACAACCUUACGAAAAUAAUCAAUUUUGGCAUGAUGAGUAGUUAACCAAUUAAUCCCUAAAAUCACAUCAAAUGCAAGUAUCUUUAAAGAGAUAAGGUCAACAGGUAAGGUGAUGGUGCCAACUUGGAUCAAACAAGAUUUAUAAACAGUGGAUGUAAUGAAAUUUUCUCCUAACGGAGUCUCCACAGAUAAAUCAAAGUCUAAUUUCUCCGGAGUCAAGUUUAAACGUUGAGCACAAGCAGGAGAGAUAAAUGAAUGGGUAGCACCGGUAUCUAGUAAGGUAUAAACUUCGCAAGAAUUUAUGAUUAGCUUACCCGUGAUUACCUCAUUUGGGUUCCUCACAUUUUGACCAGUCACGACAAACGCUCUUCCAGGAACCGUUGACUUUGACUUUUCUGGGACAGCCUUUUGAGUCACCAUCCCCCCUGGACUUGGUUUCGUUACCGUACAAUCUCAAGUGAUAUGUCCUUCUUUUCCACAAUUAUAGCAUACCUUGAACUGUUGUGGACAGUUUGGGCUAAUAUGCCCCUCUUUUUCGCAUUUAUAGCAUACGACCGGUGGUCAUUCUCCUCCCUUAGAACCAGUUGCUGCUGGUACUGACGUCUUCGCAUGGUAAUUGUUGAAUCUCCUCUUUUUAAAAUCUCCUCCCGACUCGCUUCUUCUAUUCUCAUGGCCAUGAUUAUCACCAGAGUGGUUGCCGCUUUUGUCCGUAUUUUUAUUUCUCUGUUGGUUAUCGUUGUUCUGAUGACUGAUGUCACCGGUAUGACUUUGGUUGUGGUCCUUCGAUUAAACGUACUCGUUAUAUCGCUCUAAUAAUUGAGCCAUGUUGACAACAUCUGAAUAUAGAGAAAAUUUAUGAGAAAUGAGAUACUGACGUAUGUCGGGUUUCAAACCUCACAAAAACAUCCGCGUCAUAAGUUCCUUAUUCUCCACCAAAUGAGGUUCAAACCUGGAUAACUCUGCAAACUUCGCCUCGUACUAGGACACCGUCAUGUUGUUUUGUUCUAGUCUAAUAAACUCCACUUCCUUCAUAUGACGAAUACUUUCAGGAAAGUACUUGUCAUUGAACAGUUUCUGAAACGUCUCUCAAGACAUGCUAAGUGUGGCUGGAUGGGUACGCUUCACAGAUUCCCACUAGUAAUCUGCCUCAUUAUGGAACAUAAAAAUGGCGAAUGGAACCUUCUGUUCCUCCAUGCAUCCCAAGACAUCGAAUAUCUUGGUGAUUUAUUUGACCCACGUUUCUGCCUUAAUCGGAUCCGGCUUUCCCCAAAAUUCUGGUGGUCCCAACUCUUUGAAAUGCUUGGCGGUGACAAACCGUGUGUUGUUAUCAUUUCCACCUAUAUUUUGUGCACGAGUCUCCCUCGUCUGAUUUUGCAUGAACUGAAAAAAGCUUCUAAACAUCCUGUCAUUAAUCAUCUGCUCAGUGGUGUUGUUCACAGGAGGAACAUUGUCAGCCUGUUGCACGUUCUCCUCGUUGGUGAGUAAAGGUGUCUCCACGGUUUCAUUUACUCCACUAUUAACAUUCUCAGUCGACAUUCUCAAAUACUGCCAUAAAACAAAGGUUAAUUAAAAAAAUCAACAUAUCACAUAAUAUCCCUAUAUACUGACCAACCAACAAAUAAGCUUAGGUAAGACACACUAGCGAAGGUUUUACUCGUCUCUCCCCUCCUAGUUCUAUUCCCCGAUCUCCGCCAGAGAUCAUAUUCCUAAGCUCUUAUACCAACUGUGACGCCUCCAAAAUAGGUAUACAUCACCCAUUCUGAGUCGUCAAUAACAUGGUACAGAAACAACUACAACUUUAUUAAUACAAUUGCCGUGCAAAAUACGACAACACAUAAAUUGUGAGUUUAAAUACAAAUAUUGUCAUCUAGACAAUAUUCACACCCAAAUAAGUCCUCAUUAAAAUUAUUGAUACAUUAUUUUACAAAAAUGGUGAGGACUACUAAAAAUAACUUCCUAGGACCUUCAUUCCAUACCCCGACUAGUAUUAUCAUUUGGGUUGAUUAAACUUCUAGUAUAGUUUGCUGUAACCUUGUCCAAGAAGGGAACAUAAUCAUGGUAUGCAAUUAUUUUUUUUGGUUGUGUAAACCAUGGUAAUAAAAUUGAAAACCAGUUGGAUGUGUAUGUAACUUGAGAAAGGUUCUUCUUUCUUUCUAAAAAUUUAAAUUAUCUGGCACAUGUACGGAUUAUUUUGUCUGUGUUGUUAGAAAUGGUUUUUUUGACAGAACACUGAUGCUUUAGAUUACAUGUUUUGAUUAGUGUCACUUCACUUAGAAAGGUACUACAUCAAAUGGCUAAAGACCAUCCGAAUAUGCAGAAUAUGCAGGAAGAAACAUAAUGUCUUUUUUCUUUCUUUAUUCAUAUUUUUCUUGAUUCCUUUGUUUUAACUUAAAUUCUUUACCAAGUAGCUUAUCAGCUUACUUUGUUUAAUACAAUCUGUGGAGAGGUGUUACCUCACUUCAUAGGUGCAAGUUGGAUAUUUUCUUUUGGAAUUUGCUUAGUUCUAAUGCAAUUUCAAUAUUUGAUUGUACAAUCAUUAAAAUAGUCUCAUCAUGUUAGCAUCUACUCUGUCACAGUUCUUUUUUCUCUCAUUCCUAUCCAGCUGAAAUAAACUUCAAGAAAUUUUAUGAGGACAACUAUUAUGUUGUUUAAAUACUUAUUAAGUGUGCAUAAUUCAUAACUCCUUAUUUUCGAUAUCAUGAGACAGUCUUGUUCUGAAGUCCCUUAUAGAGAGUUCUUACUCAGCAACUCAUAUAAUAAACAGAGGGAUUUGUAUUUUUUGUUAACAGUUAAAACCAAAUUGUAAAUUUCUAAGAAGAUCCAUUCAUCCUAAAAACAAUAGACAACACCUAGUACACUUGCAGAAACAAACAAAGGAGGAUAUUGUCAUUACAUGAAGAAAAUGCAUACAACAAGAACAAAGGAGGAUAUUGUCAUUACUAACAUACACUUAAAGGAGGAUAUUGUCAUUACUAACAUACACUCAAAUGCAAUCUAUAAACCAAAAGCUAUGCAAAUGAAUAGGAGGAAAGUUUUGGCGUAGUAAAAUUUCAUUCACCAACAAAAGAAGCCAAUUAUGAUAAUCCCGUAAUAAUCUCCAGAGAUUAUUUUUUUCGUAGCAAGUGGUCUUUAGACAUUUCUUAAACAAAUGAAAGUAAACAUAAAACCAAGGAAUGGUUGAACCUCGUCGUACAAGGCUUUAUCAAAAAUUCAGAUACAUCCACCCAACUGCAAACAACAGUCACAAAAUAAAAGGUUUGUAAAUCAUAAAGUAAAUGAUAAAAGACCAAGACUCAAAACAUCACUUGAAUUUAGUGCAUAUGGAGUGAGAUCAGAUGUAUGAGUGCUCAUCUUAAUACUUGAAUGUCAUAACCUCAAGACACAACCAUGAUUACUUAGUGAAACAAAAAUAUUCAACAUCCGACAUUUCUAAAGUGAUACUCGUAAAAAGAAUGAUUAGGACCACACUCAAUAGAAUUAAUGUAGCAAGCAUAAAUACUGUAUAAGAAUAAAAAUCAGAAAAAAAGAAAAAAAAACUCCAGAUGUAUAAAUUGGUAACAAAACGUGGUAAGCAUGGGCCAAUUACGUAGAGUACAAAUAAGUUUUUAAAUUGUUAGAUACUAUGGAUGUGCAACCAAAUACAAAUGUCAAACAAGAAACAUGCAAUUUUCACUACACCAAUAAAGCAUCUGAGCUGUUAACUACAUAAACUUUAAACAAAUGAGGCCUACUUAUAAUUAGUAGCAAUAUAAUUCGUAACUAGAUUUUUCACCCUACUUAUGGUUCAACAUGUUGCCUAAUUAAGAAAAAAAUAACCAAAUUCAAGUAAUUUAUGAUAUCUGCAUUCUACUGUACUUUUUACCCAUUUGUAGAAAAUUCAUUUUUCCUAUUGUGCCAGAGUAUCUCUCAGAUGUAAGGCUCUCCUAAUGCACAAGUGGAAACAUCUUAGAAGAGAAGAGAUGGAAUCGACACCCUCCACAUUCUAGAUUAGAUGAACUACAAUUAGAAAAACAAAUGAAAAAUCUUCUUUGAAAUAAAUAUUAACUAAUAGCAAAAAAUGGGAGAAGAAAGGCAAAUCUUAUCAAAUUCCAAUCUAGAGUGUUUACUUGUUGUGUGGUCAUACACUACUAUACUAGAUACCAUGCCCAAGUAAUAUACUAGAUACCAUGCCCAACUAAAUUCUAAAGCAAGAUUAUAACUAAAAUCCACUUCGUGAGCACAAAUUAUUAUCCCUUGAAGUUCGCAAUAAACCCCUUGAAGAUUCUAGGGUUUGGCCCUCAAAAAUUAUUAGCCCUAAAAAAGUAAUUAUUGAAAACCAAAACACAAAAUCUUUGAAAAUUAAGCAUAAUUUCAACACUAACACCAAGAAAAUCUAUCUACCCACAUCUAAUUUUGUUACCUUGUAGUGAAUCGACAGAUCGAGAGAUGGCUUGGUAUGAAUCGACGAGAUGGGUGGAAUUGAUUCUUGUCGCUUUUGCGAGGAGAUGGCUGAGUCGGUCGUGGCUGUGUCAGUUUUGCGAGGAGAUGGACGAGAUGAAUCCAAGAGAGAUGCAUUCUCUUUACUGUGAAUCAAAGAGAGAGAUGGCUGAGUCAGAAAGAGAAAUGGGGCGUCAAUUUUUUGUUUUUGGCUGAGUCUUAAGUGAGGAGAGAGAAGGAAUAAGGGAGGGUUUAAAUAGG
Molecule: long non-coding RNA, 10337 nt
Filed under: Panax ginseng (ginseng)
Lineage: Eukaryota; Viridiplantae; Streptophyta; Magnoliopsida; Apiales; Araliaceae
Description: long non-coding RNA (PGIN_LNC000986)
Source: RNAcentral